CGGAGGAAGGUGGGGAUGACGUCAAAUCAUCAUGCCCCUUAUGACCUGGGCUACACACGUGCUACAAUGGGCGGUACAAAGGGUCGCGAACCCGCGAGGGGGAGCCAAUCCCAAAAAGCCGCUCUCAGUUCGGAUUGCAGGCUGCAACUCGCCUGCAUGAAGCCGGAAUCGCUAGUAAUCGCGGAUCAGCAUGCCGCGGUGAAUACGUUCCCGGGCCUU
This 219-nucleotide ribosomal RNA is filed under the name uncultured Anoxybacillus sp. RNAcentral's name for it is "partial 16S ribosomal RNA". It matches the Rfam family "Bacterial small subunit ribosomal RNA", at positions 1164 to 1382 of the family's 1533-position model. Lineage: Bacteria; Bacillati; Bacillota; Bacilli; Caryophanales; Anoxybacillaceae. The record is from RNAcentral.